UGACAAGCAAACAUUAUUUCUCUUCCAUUUAUUCUGUUAUAAAGAUAGCUACUUGUAGUCAUGCUUCCUGUCAUGGAGAAGCAAUCAGCUUGAGGACAGGAAACCAUCAUGAAGAAGCAGAGCUCCACUGAAAUUCCAAUACUUGGGUCAAGUGAUCCCUGAGGAAGUGAUCUCAGUGCACAUCAUCCCUCUGUUUCCAGCUGACCUGUAGCCUGUCCCUCCUCACCCAUGAAUUCAUUCCGUCAACAAACCUUUACUGAGUUCUGUGCGUGCUUAGGAGGGAAGCAUUUACAAAGACAGAAAAAGUUCCUGCCAGAGAACAUUCACAGUGCAUUGCCUGUGUCCCAGCCACAUGACAAGGCUCUGGAAGAGAAUGGGUGUCGUUGGAUUUCCAGUUUCUAGAAGCUGCCCCAUGUCUUAGCUCAUGGCUCCUCCCUCCUCCUUCAAAGCCAGCAGUACAAGCGACUUCCAAUCUCAGCAUUGUGUUCCUAACAGCACAAAGGUGAAACAAUCAAAUUUUCAUCAGUGGCUCUCUGCUAUGGCCUGGGAAAGCAGUAGAAGAUGGCCCAAGUGCUUGGGCCCCUGCACUUGCAUGGGACACCUGGAAGAAACUCUUGGAUGCUGACUUCAGAUUGGCCCAGCUUUGGCCUUUGGGGCCAGAUGGGGAGAGAACCAACAGAUAGAAGAUCUUUCUCUGUGUCUCUCCCUCUCUUUGUCUGUAACUCUGUCUCUCAAAUAAAUAAAUCUUAAAAACAAUUUGGCUGACUUGGUAAAGAAAAUGUGGUAUAUACAUACUAUGGAAUACUACUCAAUGAUUUAAAAAAAAUGAAAUCCUGUCUUUUGCAACAAAACAGAUGCAAGUGGAGACCAUUAUGCUUAAAUAAGCCAGAUCCAAAAAGGACAAAAAUCAUCUGUCUUCUCUGAUUUGUGGUAGCUAAUAGAGAGAAUUAAAAAAAUCCUCAAUGUGCAUGAAUGAAAUUGAUACCUUGUGUAUGAAUGAAAUUGACACCUUGUGGUUUGAUCAUUGUUUAGAACCUUUGUCUGUAUUCCUGUGCAACAGUGGCCUUCCUACUUUUCACUUGCAGCACUCUUUGCUUAGAAGGCCAUUGAGAAAAAAAAAAAAAAAAAAGAAGAAGAAGAAGAAGAAGGCCAUUGAUGGGGCCAGCGCUGUGGCACAGUGGGUGAAAGCCCUGGCCUGCGGCGCCGGCAUCCCAUAUGGGCGCCAGUUCUAGUCUCGGCUGCUCCUCUUCCCAUCCAGCUCUCUGCUAUGGCCUGGGAAGGCAGUAGAAGAUGGCCCAAGUCCUUGGGUCCCUGCACCCACGUGGGAGACCCGGAAGAAGCUCCUGGCUCCUGGCUCCUGGCUCCUUGCUUCAGAUCUGCAUGGCUCUAGCCGUUGCGGCCAUCUGGGGAGUGAACCAGCGGAUAGAAGACCUCUCUCUCUGUCUCUACCUCUCUCUGUAACUCUGUCUUUCAAAUAAAUAAA
This is a non-coding RNA of Oryctolagus cuniculus (rabbit), 1483 nucleotides long. Lineage: Eukaryota; Metazoa; Chordata; Mammalia; Lagomorpha; Leporidae. The record is from RefSeq and is a predicted model, not a curated record.